ACGGAAGGCAGCAGUGAGGAAUAUUGGUCAAUGGAGGCAACUCUGAACCAGCCAAGUCGCGUGAAGGAAGAAGGCCCUACGGGUCGUAAACUUCUUUUGCAGGGGGAUAAAGUCGGCCACGCGUGGCCGUUUGCAGGUACCCUGUGAAUAAGCAUCGGCUAACUCCGUGCCAGCAGCCGCGGUAAUACGGAGGAUGCGAGCGUUAUCCGGAUUUAUUGGGUUUAAAGGGUGCGUAGGCGGGAUGUUAAGUCAGCGGUGAAAGCGUGUAGCUCAACUAUACCAAGCCGUUGAAACUGGCGUUCUUGAGUGUAAACGAGGUAGGCGGAAUGUGACGUGUAGCGGUGAAAUGCUUAGAUAUGUCACAGAACCCCGAUUGCGAAGGCAGCUUACCAGCAUACAACUGACGCUGAGGCACGAAAGUGCGGGGAUCAAACAGGAUUAGAUACCCUGGUA
This 453-nucleotide ribosomal RNA is filed under the name uncultured Porphyromonadaceae bacterium. RNAcentral describes it as "partial 16S ribosomal RNA". It matches the Rfam family "Bacterial small subunit ribosomal RNA", at positions 341 to 792 of the family's 1533-position model. The record is from RNAcentral. Lineage: Bacteria; Pseudomonadati; Bacteroidota; Bacteroidia; Bacteroidales; Porphyromonadaceae.